RNAcentral lists this ribosomal RNA (831 nucleotides) under uncultured soil archaeon. Its description in RNAcentral is "bacterial SSU rRNA". It matches the Rfam family "Archaeal small subunit ribosomal RNA", at positions 24 to 859 of the family's 1478-position model. The record is from RNAcentral.
UCACUGCUAUCGGUGUUCGAUUAAGCCAUGCGAGUCGGAGGGGUCAAGCCCUCGGCGGAGUGCUCAGUAACACGUGGACAACCUACCCAAGAGUCAGGGAUAACCCCGGGAAACUGGGGAUAAUACCUGAUAGGCCAUGACAUCUGGAAUCGAGUUGUGGUUUAAACGUAAGGCUCUUGGAUGGGUCUGCGGCGGAUUAGGUUGUUGCCGGUGUAACGUACCAGCAAGCCUGUAAUCCGUACGGGUUGUGGGAGCAAGAGCCCGGAGAUGGAUUCUGAGACACGAAUCCAGGCCCUACGGGGCGCAGCAGGCGUGAAAACUCUACAAUGCAGGCAACUGCGAUAGGGGAACAUCUUUUGGCAUCCACCAUGGAUGUCUGUCCAAUCGUCUAAAAAACGAUUGUCAGCAAGGGCCGGGCAAGACCGGUGCCAGCCGCCGCGGUAAUACCGGCGGCUCGAGUGGUGGCCGAUAUUAUUGAGUCUAAAGGGUCCGUAGCCGGCUUUGCAAGUCCUAUGGGAAAUCCAGCGGCUUAACCGUUGGGCUUUCAUGGGAUACUACAUCGCUUGGGACUGGGAGAGGUAGGAGGUACUCAGGGGGUAGGGGUGAAAUCCUGUAAUCCUUUGGGGACCACCGGUGGCGAAGGCGUCCUACCAGAACANGUCCGACGGUGAGGGACGAAAGCUAGGGGCACGAACCGGAUUAGAUACCCGGGUAGUCCUAGCCGUAAACGAUGCUCGCUAGGUGUCACGGCAGUCGUGAAUUGUCGUGGUGCCGUAGGGAAGCCGUGAAGCGAGCCACUUGGGGAAGUACGACCGCAAGGUUGAAACUUAA